RNAcentral lists this transfer RNA (72 nucleotides) under Pangasianodon gigas (Mekong giant catfish). Its description in RNAcentral is "tRNA-Val". It matches the Rfam family "tRNA". Rfam says of the family: Transfer RNA (tRNA) molecules are approximately 80 nucleotides in length. Lineage: Eukaryota; Metazoa; Chordata; Actinopteri; Siluriformes; Pangasiidae. The record is from RNAcentral.
UCCCUGGAGGACUAGUGGUUAGGCCACAGCACUCACACUGCCACAGCCCAGGUUCAAUUCCCGGCCAGUGAA